CGAUGCCGGGUCCCUGGCAGGUACCCACCCUUACGGGCAUGAGGAUGGGUCCCAAUUUUAACCCGCGGGUAACCGGGUACAGGGCCCUGCGGACAGGGAUGGAGUUCUACCCGUGGGGGCCUGAGGGGGGUAUAUUAGACUAUGAUUCCUUAAAUUACAGGGCGCAAAAACCCAAUCCUAAGUCCAAAUAUAUAUAGUAACCCUAAAUGCCAACCAGUUAUCACCCCUCUCUCUCCUACUCCACUCCAGAGGGCGGCUGGCGGUUGGGCGGCGCUGCGGCGGGUGGCCAGGCGGGCGAACGGUGGCCUCUCUCUAGAUCCCAACCCCUCUCCCUUCCCUAGUCCAGUCAGCCGACGAGGCGAUGCGGGGUGGCGAUGCAGUCGAUGCGGCUGGCUGACGAGGCGGUCGCGGCUGGACGGUGAGGCGGAACGGGGCGGCUGGACGACGAGACGGCCGUCGGCUAGGCGGCGACCGGGUUGUGGUUGAACAACAAUCCGGUCACGGCUGGAUGGUGAGGUGGAGCGGGGCGGCGAUGCGGCUGGCCGAUGAGACAGUCGUGGCUAGACGGCGAGGCGGCCGUUGGCUUGAAGGCGAGGCAGCGUCCCAUCGAGUGGCGACCGGCGAGGCGGCAUACCAGCGAGUGCCGAUGGAGAGGCGGGUGAGUGGGUCACCCAGUCGGGUUGUAGGUCCCUGGUCGGAUCGGGUAUGGGGAUGGAGUCCGACCCGCUUCUCUAUUUGGGUCCGGGUUCAGGUCCAUUCAUGUCCAACCCACCCCGUUACCAUCCAUACAUGUGGGUGAUGAGGGUAUUUGUGGCACUUCUAGAAAGAGAAAGAGGACAGAGGAGGCCUCAUCAAGCCAGGGCGCCAAGAAGAAAAAAACCCCUCCGAAGAAGAAGACCCCCCAAGAUGACCAAAACCCCAGACCCCCAAGAGGACAAAAACCCCACAGAAGAAGAAAGAAGCACGGGCUGCAUCGAAGCCUCCGGCUAGAGUAGUUAGGAAUUUAUCUAUUUGGCUGUCAUCUUGAAUGCUAUAAUAUGUGGCUGUACUAGUUUCUGAACAAGUCUUUUUUUUGGGCACAAACCUUCCUAUAUGUGUUUGGUUGUGUUCUCAUUUUGGGGCAAAUAUACUGUUUAAUGCCUGCCAGAAAUGUAUGUCCAGUUCACUACCUGCUAUUUUCAUAUAUUCCCAGCUUGAAACUUAUUGCUCAGUUUGAUAUAUAUAUGUGAGCACACAUACUGUCAGUUUCA
Long non-coding RNA from Oryza brachyantha (malo sina), 1250 nucleotides. RefSeq lists it as uncharacterized. The transcript is spliced from 2 exons. NCBI's taxonomy places the organism in Eukaryota, Viridiplantae, Streptophyta, Magnoliopsida, Poales, Poaceae. The record is from RefSeq and is a predicted model, not a curated record.